RNAcentral lists this non-coding RNA (31 nucleotides) under Mus musculus (house mouse). The record is from RNAcentral. Lineage: Eukaryota; Metazoa; Chordata; Mammalia; Rodentia; Muridae.
UGACGUGCCUGGAACGUUGAGACCAGCUCUU